GUCCGAACUCACGUGUAAAACAUUGGGAUGGAUAAGCCAUUGGUAUCCCUAGUUAAGCGUGAAGAGGCCGCUUUGCGUAUCAAAUAGGAGCCGCGGGGGCGAGGUUGAAUUGUUUAGCUCACUUCUCGAUUGUCGGCUGCGGAUUCCCUUUGCACAAAGAGGAUGUAGAUGUGGUGUGCAUGGAGGUGUAAUUUUAGCGUUGUGCUGUUUGAAGAAUGUUAAGAAGGCAUCUAUUUUGUUUCCACGAUGAGCCAGAAGAGCCUUGUUUUCUCUGCUCCCCGUAAUAUGGUUUCAAGCAGGGAUGUUGUAUAUGGUUUAGAGCACUAGCAGAGGACCAUGGCAUCGGUUACAAUGGAGGAUGUUCCAUUGGAAGCUGAAUCGUCCGUUUCUUCUUCUUUUUUCCCAUGAGGUGAAAUCUUUGAUUUCCCAUUAAUGGAAUGCUCUCUGCGUUGAAAAGAGAAAAGAAAUUUUUUUCACUACAGCAUGCAAGUUCCUAGAAAUUUCUUGUUUCCUUGGGCAAUACAUACAUCUUGAUAUGAUUAAGCUGGAUUCUUAUACCAGUUUGUUUGUGAACUGGCCUUUGAUAAAAUCUGAAAUUAGGUUU
Molecule: long non-coding RNA, 604 nt
Organism: Populus trichocarpa (black cottonwood)
Lineage: Eukaryota; Viridiplantae; Streptophyta; Magnoliopsida; Malpighiales; Salicaceae
Exons: 2
Source: RefSeq, a predicted model, not a curated record